ACAGUGCACCGAGUCGGUUGCUGUUGUUGUUGUUGUUGUUGUUGCUGCUGUUGCUGUUGCUGUUGUGGUUUCUGUUCCGCCACCGGAGAGAUCGCGACAGCCGAAACAACCAGCGGAACUCCUUUGACUUCAGGGAGAGUCAGGAGAGGUACCUGAGAAACAGAUUCGACUGCCGUUGACGAAGAUGAAGGAGAGGUAGAGAUAGACGAUUUAGCCGAAGAAGCUUGUUGUUGUUCUUUAAGUCGGAAAUCUCUGUAACAUUUAGAACAAAGAUUCAUCGUCGCCGGACUUCCUAAGAAACCACAGUUAUUAACACAAAGACGGUGACCUUCCGGCGCUUGGCA
Molecule: long non-coding RNA, 344 nt
Filed under: Gossypium barbadense (sea-island cotton)
Lineage: Eukaryota; Viridiplantae; Streptophyta; Magnoliopsida; Malvales; Malvaceae
Description: long non-coding RNA (GBAR_LNC000975)
Source: RNAcentral